GCCUGGGUGGCUCAGUCGGUUAAGCAGCUGACUUCAGCUCAGGUCAUGAUCACGCGGUUCAGGUCAUGAUCAUGCAGUUCAGAUCUUGUGGUUCGUGGGUUCGAGCCCCACAUCGGGCU
Molecule: transfer RNA, 119 nt
Filed under: Felis catus (domestic cat)
Lineage: Eukaryota; Metazoa; Chordata; Mammalia; Carnivora; Felidae
Rfam family: tRNA
About the family: Transfer RNA (tRNA) molecules are approximately 80 nucleotides in length. Their secondary structure includes four short double-helical elements and three loops (D, anti-codon, and T loops).
Source: Rfam by way of RNAcentral